GCCUCAGUCCAGCCUGGUAUGCGAGCCGUUCGCGACGCUAUUAUUCGUCUUUUUUUUAGUCGCGACGACGAAACUUACUAAUACGCCGUCGAACAUGCUCCGCCGUUGCGAACUCGCCAACGCAUGUCACAUCCGUCGUACCCCAUUCCGUUGUUCGCGUUUAUUUUAUACACACAACUACGAACGUGAUACGUGUGUUAUCUAUACUAUAUACUUUGCCGUUUUGCACGUGCCUUUUCGGGCCACUCCACGUCAUCUUCAUCAUCCAUCAGCCCACAGCAACAGUGCACACAUUUAUUCCGUUCCCGUCAAGCCACCAGUACGAGUCCGAGAGGACCCACCAUGGAUGGAUGGAGUAUGUCAAGAUCCAGAGAAACUAGAAGUAAUGGAUAGGAAAUUAAGCAGGAUCAUUGGAAGGUUGAUGACAAGUGGCAGCCAAAGUUCUUACAAAUUUUCGAGGAUACAUGAUGACGAUGAAUUGUCCAUAAGAUUAAUUACCAUUAAUAGUUGGUCUUAAUUGUAUUAAUAAUCUAACGGCUAAACAAGAGUUUUUAUUGUUGGUGGGUGUCAUAUCAGUAUUGUCAUUCGAGUUGACCACAAGCCGCUGGUAGAUAUGAAAAUAACAAUAGGACCCACAAGUCACCAGAGUGUGUGUCCUAUUUGUUCUUGUGAGUAACCAAGCACCAGACAAGCUAAAAAACGGUUUAUGUUGACAAACAUAUUCUCGAACAUCACAAAGUCAAAAAUGGUCAUCUCUCAAUUAUACAAGACAGAAAACGAUUAUUUUGGAAUAAAAUUGGUCAGAUCACGAAUGGUCGGCAGGUAAUGUCUCGAGGUUUAAGUUUUUACCUUAGAGUAACAGCUUGAACAUUAAUUUUCCUUGUACGCAAACGUACCUUUAUUGCGGUAUCACGGCACAACAUUUUAGGCUAUUAAAUUGAUUUAUUAUAAUAUUUUCCUCUCGACAUAAAAGUUUGCUGAAAACAAGAACCUUUUCCGCUCGAUUCUUACU
This is a long non-coding RNA of Rhopalosiphum padi (bird cherry-oat aphid), 1012 nucleotides long. RefSeq lists it as uncharacterized. The transcript is spliced from 4 exons. NCBI's taxonomy places the organism in Eukaryota, Metazoa, Arthropoda, Insecta, Hemiptera, Aphididae. The record is from RefSeq and is a predicted model, not a curated record.